RNAcentral lists this ribosomal RNA (870 nucleotides) under uncultured archaeon. RNAcentral's name for it is "bacterial SSU rRNA". It matches the Rfam family "Archaeal small subunit ribosomal RNA", at positions 4 to 882 of the family's 1478-position model. The record is from RNAcentral.
CUGGUUGAUCCUGCCAGAGGCCAUUGCUAUCAGGGUUUGACUAAGCCAUGCGAGUCGAGAGGUGUAAGACCUCGGCAUACUGCUCAGUAACACGUGGUUAACCUGCCCUAAGGUGGAGAAUACUCCCGGGAAACUGGGGCUAAUGCUCCAUAGUGGAUGCAUCCUGGAAUGGUGCAUCCUCGAAAGAUCCGUCGCCUUAGGAUGGGACUGCGUCCGAUUAGGUUGUUGGCGGGGUAACGGCCCACCAAGCCAUUGAUCGGUACGGGUUGUGGGAGCAAGAUCCCGGAGAUGGAUUCUGAGACAUGAAUCCAGGCCCUACGGGGCGCAGCAGGCGCGCAAACUUUACAAUGCGAGCAAUCGUGAUAAGGAAACCCUGAGUGCCUGUCGAUGCAGGCUGUUCAUAUAUCUAAAUCAUAUGUGAAGAAAGGGCAGGGCAAGACCGGUGCCAGCCGCCGCGGUAAUACCGGCUGCUCGAGUGAUGGCCACUAUUACUGGGUUUAAAGCGUCCGUAGCUUGACUGUUAGGUCCCUUGGGAAAUCUUCACGCUUAACGUGAAGGCGUCUAAGAGAUACCGGCAGUCUUGGAACUGGGAGAGGUAAACCGUACUUCGGGGGUAGGAGUGAAAUCUUGUAAUCCUCGAGGGACGACCUAUGGCGAAGGCAGUUUACCAGAACAGCUUCGACAGUGAGGGACGAAAGCUGGGGGAGCAAACGGGAUUAGAUACCCCGGUAGUCCCAGCCGUAAACAAUGUGCGUUAGGUGUGUCGGUAACCACGCGUUACUGAUGCGCCGAAGAGAAAUCGUGAAACGCACCACCUGGGAAGUACGGUCGCAAGGCUGAAACUUAAAGGAAUUGGCGGGGGAGCACCAC